CCUUACCUACCAAUAUGGCUAGCUUUACUCUGGCCCUCAGCAAACAGAAAAGUGGGACGCAAAACUGAGCCCCGCGGGCUACAGAAGGCUGCGCUUACCUUUUCUGACUCUGGGAUGGGAGGAAGACACCCCGGGCUACGUGGAGGUGAAUUCCCCAGCAGGUAGCUCGGAGUAACAGCUUAGCGAGCGGCGGAGCAGGCUGGCCCUGACAACAUGCAUGUGCUCUGAAACCGCCACUUACUAUCAGGCAACUUAAGAAAAGAGGAGGAGCCUGUACUGGGGAAAGGGGGAGUGGGAAAAUGAAAACAGCAGGAGGAGGGGGGAGCCCGAGCUCCCCGGAAUAUUGAUUAAUCUUGGCACCACAGAAGCACGCUUUAUGGCUUUGUUUUGCUCCGUAGACCACGUUCACGCCUUGUUAGUUCACUUAUAUUAGAAACGCAAAAUCAGGACCUGAGAGAAUCGAAAACUAAAGCGCUCACACACAUGGACGCUGGAAGUCCGGAUUAGAACGUCUGGGAGACUUCUCCAAGGCCACGUUUAAUUACCUCAUUUCAGGUUGCCUCCCCUUCAGGGGACGUCAGAGGGUGUUCUUUUGCCUGCUCACACAACUGUUGUAGCACCCCACCCCUUUAGCAUUGGGGACAUAACUGAAAUUUCUUGGAAGGAUCCUGAAUACAAUUAAGUAUAGAGAGGAGAAUGCUUACUGCCGCCCUCUCAACUUGUAUAAAGUUACUCAAAACACAAGGUGAGACAUGCCCCCCUGUUUUACAGUUUAAAACUCCAAUAUAAGGAAUCUGAUUGGGCUCUGGCUGCCUGCUCUGCGGACAGAAAAAGCCCAGCAGAGCAGGAAAGUGUGGUCUUAUCCUCAAGGAAGGGCAUGAGCUGGGAGGUCACCCACAUUAUUACCUUCACAUCAGUUGUCACACCUAAUAGCAAAGGUGACUGGAAAUACAGUCUUUCUUCUGAGCAGCCACAUGCACAGCAAACGUGGGAGUGAAAAAGGAGGCACGGUGAUGGAGUGCGUGGGU
Molecule: long non-coding RNA, 1028 nt
Filed under: Mus spicilegus (steppe mouse)
Lineage: Eukaryota; Metazoa; Chordata; Mammalia; Rodentia; Muridae
Description: lncRNA (ENSMSIG00000030977.1)
Source: RNAcentral